CAGUAGCCACGGUAAUACGUAGGUGGCAAGCGUUGUCCGGAAUUAUUGGGCGUAAAGCGCGCGCAGGCGGUUUCUUAAGUCUGAUGUGAAAGCCCCCGGCUCAACCGGGGAGGGUCAUUGGAAACUGGGAAACUUGAGUGCAGAAGAGGAGAGUGGAAUUCCACGUGUAGCGGUGAAAUGCGUAGAGAUGUGGAGGAACACCAGUGGCGAAGGCGGCUCUCUGGUCUGUAACUGACGCUGAGGAGCGAAAGCGUGGGGAGCGAACAGGAUUAGAUACCCCCGUAGUCCCUGUCUCUUAUAC
RNAcentral lists this ribosomal RNA (301 nucleotides) under uncultured bacterium. Its description in RNAcentral is "partial 16S ribosomal RNA". It matches the Rfam family "Bacterial small subunit ribosomal RNA", at positions 509 to 807 of the family's 1533-position model. The record is from RNAcentral.